Gossypium arboreum is the source of this 1547-nucleotide long non-coding RNA. RefSeq lists it as uncharacterized. The transcript is spliced from 2 exons. The record is from RefSeq and is a predicted model, not a curated record. Lineage: Eukaryota; Viridiplantae; Streptophyta; Magnoliopsida; Malvales; Malvaceae.
GGGUUAGGUAAAUGUUUCAUGAUAAUAGGUUAGGUAAAUGUUCCAUGAUAAUGGAUUAGGUAAAUAUUCAAUGAUAAUGAGUUAGGUAAAUGUUCCAUGAUAAUCAUGAUAAUGGAUUAGGUAAAUAUUCCAUGAUAAUGGGUUAGGUAAAUGUUUCAUGAUAAGAAUAUCAUGUCUUUUGUAUUAAAGAAUUAAAUGGAUGAAAUAUGAAGUUUUAUUAAAAGAAAAAAGGGUGAAAAGAACAAAGUUUUGUCCAUCUUUGUUCAUCAUAGCUGAAAGUUAGAGAAGAGAAAGGAGAGGAGAAAGCUCUUGAGUAUUCGAUCAUUAGGAGGAGGAAAAUUGAAGGCGGUUCGUGUGUGGAUCUCGUCAGCAUAUCGUCGCAAAUAGGUGUGUAACUAACACCUCUUUCUUAGUCUAGAUCGGCAAAAGUCGAAAAGUCGAAAUGCCAAAACCGGUAUUUUGUAGAUUUGCGAGUGUGCGAACGCUCGUGAGGUAAAUCGAUUAAUGUUUUUGGUAAGCUGCAAUGUUUGGACUGGAAAGUGCAUGAUUUCUGUGCCCUCGAUAUUUUUGGGCUUAAUGGGCCAAAAUUAGAAUGAUGGGCCAACGGGCCUAAUUCGGUAAGAACCCUCGGUACGUGAUUCUGUAGUACAUGAAAGGUAAGAAUAUGCAUGAAAAACCCUAAAAUAGAUAAAUUACUGAAAUACCUUUACAAGUGAAAAAUUUACAGUUUUACCCCUAGUAGAUGAAUUACCGAAAUACCCCUAGGGUUAAAUUGACCUAAAUGCAUGUUUGACUGUUGUUAUUUAUCGCAUGCCAUAUUAUUAUCGAUGCAUGGACCGGGAUAUUGACGGAGGAAGUACUGAAAGUGGCUUGUCCACGUCUUGGAGGCUUUGCCUCAAUUCUUCGUUAAUCGAGCGAAAUCUGCCGCAACCGUGGAGUGUUAAAUGGGUGGGUUGAGCUAUCCCCACAUGGAGUGUAUGGCUGGUACGGGUGGAGUGUAGUGGUUGGUGGGUUGAGUAGUCUCCCCAAAUGGGCUUGCAUAUGUUUACUGAUGUUGCAUGUAUUUUGAAAUAGGCCUAUGGGCCAUACUAUUAUCUGAAUAAGGGGCUAAGGCCCAGUUAUUGUAAUCUGAAAGGGCUCGCCCAAGACCACUGCACUGAAUGGGCUUAGGCCCAAUAGGCUUGAGUGACUUGGGCUUUGAAGGGUUUUCCUUACACACCGAGUUUCCCCAAACUCACCCUUUUAUUUUCAUCCACGCAGAAAUCCCCAACCAUAGUGGGCUUGGAGUUGUGAGGAAUUGGAGUGGCCACCCGCUCGAAAGUUUGAUUUUCUUCUGGUGAACUGGACAUCCUUUUAUUUACGUUUGAAGUUUUUGGGCUUUUAAAUGUAAUAAGGCCGCUUAAUUAUUUUUAUGGUUUUAAUAUGUAUUACUAAGAUAGGUAAUACUUAUAUUUAACUGUUGAAAUUGGAUAGCUUUAGGGCGCGUUUUCAAAAACAACAGUUGAUUUCAAAAUAACACGACAACAAGCAAAGCUUCCGCAAUGAAA